CACGAGCCCUUCGUAAUCUACCCUGUAGAACCGGGCUUUUGUAGACUAGCGACCCUUUCAGAAGCUCGUUUCUACAGGUAUCUUGCGAAAUC
This 92-nucleotide microRNA precursor is filed under the name Ixodes scapularis (black-legged tick). Its description in RNAcentral is "microRNA isc-mir-993 precursor". Its record names the gene isc-mir-993. The stretch from base 12 to 88 matches the Rfam family "mir-10 microRNA precursor family". Rfam says of the family: In this case the mature sequence comes from the 5' arm of the precursor. Lineage: Eukaryota; Metazoa; Arthropoda; Arachnida; Ixodida; Ixodidae. The record is from miRBase by way of RNAcentral.